UACGUAGGGCGCAAGCGUUAUCCGGAAUCACUGGGCGUAAAGGGCGCGUAGGCGGCGUUUUAAGUCGGGGGUGAAAGCCUGUGGCUCAACCACAGAAUGGCCUCGAUACUGGGACGCUUGAGUAUGGUAGAGGUUGGUGGAACUGCGAGUGUAGAGGUGAAAUUCGUAGAUAUUCGCAAGAACACCGGUGGCGAAGGCGGCCAACUGGACCAUUACUGACGCUGAGGCGCGAAAGCGUGGGGAGCAAACAGGAU
RNAcentral lists this ribosomal RNA (254 nucleotides) under uncultured bacterium. Its description in RNAcentral is "partial 16S ribosomal RNA". It matches the Rfam family "Bacterial small subunit ribosomal RNA", at positions 524 to 778 of the family's 1533-position model. The record is from RNAcentral.